UAGUCCACGCCCUAAACGAUGUCGACUAGUUGUUCGGGAAGGAAACUUCUUGAGUAACGCAGCUAACGCGUGAAGUCGACCGCCUGGGGAGUACGGUCGCAAGAUUAAAACUCAAAGGAAUUGACGGGGACCCGCACAAGCGGUGGAUGAUGUGGAUUAAUUCGAUGCAACGCGAAAACCUUACCUACCCUUGACAUGUCUGGAACUUGUGAGAGAUCACUUGGUGCCUUCGGGAACCAGAACACAGGUGCUGCAUGGCUGUCGUCAGCUCGUGUCGUGAGAUGUUGGGUUAAGUCCCGCAACGAGCGCAACCCUUGUCGCUAAUUGCCAUCAUUUGGUUGGGCACUUUAGCGAGACUGCCGGUGACAAGCCGGAGGAAGGUGGGGAUGACGUCAAGUCCUCAUGGGCCCUUAUGGGGUAGGGGCUUCACACGUCAUACAAUGGUCGGUACAGAGGGGUUGCCAAGCCGCGAGGGUGGAGCCGAAUCCCAGAAAGCCGAUCGUAGUCCGGGAUCGUAGU
RNAcentral lists this ribosomal RNA (519 nucleotides) under uncultured bacterium. RNAcentral's name for it is "bacterial SSU rRNA". It matches the Rfam family "Bacterial small subunit ribosomal RNA", at positions 791 to 1304 of the family's 1533-position model. The record is from RNAcentral.